CUCCUCUUUUGCAGGCAUGUGUGGCAGUUGACUUCAUGGUUGGGAAAAAGCAGAACAGCCCAAAGUGUCCCGGCAAAGGAGGUAGUUGGGAAACCUCAGGUUCCUCCAAACUGAAGAUUUCAGUCCAGGCUAUGCCAUAAGAGGAAAUCUCUAAGGGUUUCUAAGCAGAGUCUGUCCUUAAACAUGUUUUUAAAUGCUUUUUCCUUUUUUAAACAGGGCUGAGGAACCAGUGCCCCAGAGGACCUGGACUCCCCAGCACUUGUGUGAUGUGUCAGAGAUGAGCAUCAUGAGCCUCUUUGGAGCAGAAAGAAAAACCCUUGUACUUUGGGCAACUCUGGGAUCAUGUACACAGAAGAACCAAAUUAGCUCAUGAAGUCGAGGAUGGCAGAACACAAUGGUGAUGGCAGCAAGGUAAUCACAACACAGCAGCACUGGGCCACUCAGCAGUUCUUGGGCCAUGGUACAGCAUUGCUCUUGGAAACGUCUGUUGGAGCUGCUGAAGGGGAAUGACGCAGAAGCGUGGUGGUUUUCACUGUCUCAGGCUGGUCACGGUGUAAAACUGCUGCUAAUCGUGCUAGCUGGGGCAGCUGAGAUGCUUAAGGGCUGAACUACCACCAGAUGGCAGCGGAAGUCCAAAUAUGAGACAGGCCCCAGCGCUGCCCUGGUUUGCUAAGGGCCACCCCGCCAGGCCGAAGUCCCAGCAGGGUACAGCCAGAUAAGGAGCUCUGGGGCCUCCCACCUUGAGUUGAAAAGAUUUUUUUUUUUAAAAAAAAAAAAAAAGACAGCCACAGUUAUUAACUAACUGGCAUGGUGUAGCCAGUGUCAGAAAGUCCCUAGCUGAAGAGGUGGACGGGGACUAAAAUCUUUCUAGUGUUGCAGGAGUUCUUUCAUUCCAUUAGUGACAAAUUUAUGGCACUUUUUAAUCCCUCUCUUUUGGGCCCUUUACCUAAUAAGUAUGAAAUUACUGCUUUGUGCUACAUGACAAAAAGAAUUCAUGUUUUUUUUCCUGGGGUACCCGCUGGUGUAUUAGCCACACACUUAGUUACU
Molecule: long non-coding RNA, 1047 nt
Filed under: Cairina moschata (Muscovy duck)
Lineage: Eukaryota; Metazoa; Chordata; Aves; Anseriformes; Anatidae
Description: domestica (muscovy Duck (domestic type)) lncRNA (ENSCMMG00000016284.1)
Source: RNAcentral